Molecule: non-coding RNA, 97 nt
Organism: Meloidogyne enterolobii
Lineage: Eukaryota; Metazoa; Nematoda; Chromadorea; Rhabditida; Meloidogynidae
Source: the annotation of a GenBank genome assembly
AACCGGCAGCUUAGUGGUAGAGCAACUGCAUUUGUGUGAGCAAGGCCUAGCGAGCAUUGACUGCGUUGUCGUAGGUUCGAAUCCUGCCCGUUGGCUA